CUUUAGAAGAAAGCAUACAUAACAUGGAAUUAUAGGACAAGGGCUCUGAGCUAGACACAUGUUGAUUGUACUAUGUAGUUCUAGCUCCAUCAAUACAGACACGAUUUCCUAUCAUUAUAAGUAAAUUUUCUAUUAGUAAUGUAAUUUGUUAAGUAAAGUAAAGUAUUACCUGUAUCCCAAAACAUAUGACACGUCACUGUUACCUCCAAAUAUGAUGCAGUUAUUCAAUAUCCAUUGAUUGAUUAAAGAUAUAAUCAGUUAGAGGCAUCAAAUCAAGUCUUCCUUUUUUUGUGGGGAAAAUCAAAUCUUCCUUAAAUAAUUUAAACUGCAC
Molecule: long non-coding RNA, 331 nt
Filed under: Triticum aestivum (bread wheat)
Lineage: Eukaryota; Viridiplantae; Streptophyta; Magnoliopsida; Poales; Poaceae
Description: long non-coding RNA (TAES_LNC017281)
Source: RNAcentral